This 71-nucleotide transfer RNA is filed under the name Gongylonema pulchrum. It matches the Rfam family "tRNA". From Rfam's summary of the family: Transfer RNA (tRNA) molecules are approximately 80 nucleotides in length. Their secondary structure includes four short double-helical elements and three loops (D, anti-codon, and T loops). Lineage: Eukaryota; Metazoa; Nematoda; Chromadorea; Rhabditida; Gongylonematidae. The record is from Rfam by way of RNAcentral.
GGACAAGUGGUGUAGUGGUAAUACGUCGCGCUCGGACGUGAAGAAGAGUGGUUCGAUUCCCUACUGGUCCA